UAAUAAACCAAUGUACUUACAGGUUAUG
Molecule: small RNA, 28 nt
Filed under: Bombyx mori (domestic silkworm)
Lineage: Eukaryota; Metazoa; Arthropoda; Insecta; Lepidoptera; Bombycidae
Description: ovarian small RNA-19494
Source: RNAcentral